UACGUAGGGUGCAAGCGUUAAUCGGAAUUACUGGGCGUAAAGCGUGCGCAGGCGGUUGUGCAAGACAGAUGUGAAAUCCCCGGGCUUAACCUGGGAAUGGCAUUUGGGACUGCAAGGCUUGAGUGCGGCAGAGGAGACUGGAAUUCCUGGUGUAGCAGUGAAAUGCGUAGAUAUCAGGAGGAACACCGAUGGCGAAGGCAGGUCUCUGGGCUGACACUGACGCUCAUGCACGAAAGCGUGGGGAGCAAACAGG
RNAcentral lists this ribosomal RNA (253 nucleotides) under uncultured bacterium. RNAcentral's name for it is "partial 16S ribosomal RNA". It matches the Rfam family "Bacterial small subunit ribosomal RNA", at positions 524 to 776 of the family's 1533-position model. The record is from RNAcentral.